RNAcentral lists this ribosomal RNA (492 nucleotides) under uncultured bacterium. RNAcentral's name for it is "partial 16S ribosomal RNA". It matches the Rfam family "Bacterial small subunit ribosomal RNA", at positions 29 to 507 of the family's 1533-position model. The record is from RNAcentral.
AGUGAACGCUGGCGGUAGGCCUAACACAUGCAAGUCGAACGGCAGCACAGUAAGAUCUUGCUCUUACCGGUGGCGAGUGGCGGACGGGUGAGGAAUACAUCGGAAUCUACUUUUUCGUGGGGGAUAACGUAGGGAAACUUACGCUAAUACCGCAUAUGACCUACGGGUGAAAGCAGUGGAUCUUCGGACCUUUCGCGAUUGAAUGAGCCGAUGUCGGAUUAGCUAGUUGGCGGGGUAAAGGCCCACCAAGGCGACGAUCCGUAGCUGGUCUGAGAGGAUGAUCGGCCACACUGGAACUGAGACACGGUCCAGACUCCUACGGGAGGCAGCAGUGGGGAAUAUUGGACAAUGGGCGCAAGCCUGAUCCAGCCAUACCGCGUGGGUGAAGAAGGCCUUCGGGUUGUAAAGCCCUUUUGUUGGGAAAGAAAAGCAGCAGGUUAAUACCCCGCUGUUCUGACGGUACCCAAAGAAUAAGCACCGGCUAACUUCGUG